GAAGGAGGAGCUUGCUUCUCUGGAUGAGUUGCGAACGGGUGAGUAACGCGUAGGUAACCUGCCUGGUAGCGGGGGAUAACUAUUGGAAACGAUAGCUAAUACCGCAUAACAGUAGAUGUUGCAUGACAUUUGCUUAAAAGGUGCAAUUGCAUCACUACCAGAUGGACCUGCGUUGUAUUAGCUAGUUGGUGGGGUGACGGCUCACCAAGGCGACGAUACAUAGCCGACCUGAGAGGGUGAUCGGCCACACUGGGACUGAGACACGGCCCAGACUCCUACGGGAGGCAGCAGUAGGGAAUCUUCGGCAAUGGACGGAAGUCUGACCGAGCAACGCCGCGUGAGUGAAGAAGGUUUUCGGAUCGUAAAGCUCUGUUGUAAGAGAAGAACGAGUGUGAGAGUGGAAAGUUCACACUGUGACGGUAUCUUACCAGAAAGGGACGGCUAACUACGUGCCAGCAGCCGCGGUAAUACGUAGGUCCCGAGCGUUGUCCGGAUUUAUUGGGCGUAAAGCGAGCGCAGGCGGUUAGAUAAGUCUGAAGUUAAAGGCUGUGGCUUAACCAUAGUACGCUUUGGAAACUGUUUAACUUGAGUGCAAGAGGGGAGAGUGGAAUUCCAUGUGUAGCGGUGAAAUGCGUAGAUAUAUGGAGGAACACCGGUGGCGAAAGCGGCUCUCUGGCUUGUAACUGACGCUGAGGCUCGAAAGCGUGGGGAGCAAA
Molecule: ribosomal RNA, 716 nt
Filed under: uncultured Bacilli bacterium
Lineage: Bacteria; Bacillati; Bacillota; Bacilli
Description: bacterial SSU rRNA
Rfam family: Bacterial small subunit ribosomal RNA
Source: RNAcentral